UGACAGGGGCACCUGAUCAUUNAUGCCGCGUGAGUGAAGAGGCCUUCGGGUUGUAAAGCUCUUUCGGCCGGGACGAAAUCGCUCUGGUGAAUAUCCACGGGUGGAUGACGGUACCGGAACAAGAAGCACCGGCUAACUACGUGCCAGCAGCCGCGGUAAUACGUAGGGUGCGAGCGUUAAUCGGAAUUACUGGGCGUAAAGCGUGCGCAGGCGGUUUUGUAAGUCAGACGUGAAAGCCCCGGGCUUAACCUGGGAAUUGCGUUUGAAACUGCAAGGCUAGAGUACGGCAGAGGGGGGUAGAAUUCCACGUGUAGCAGUGAAAUGCGUAGAUAUGUGGAGGAAUACCGAUGGCGAAGGCAGCCCCCUGGGCUAGUACUGACGCUCAUGCACGAAAGCGUGGGGAGCAAACAGGAUUAGAUACCCUGGUAGUCCACGCCCUAAACUAUGACAACUAGUUGUUGGGGAUUAACAUCCUUAGUAACGCAGCUAACGCGUGAAGUUGUCCGGCUGGGGAGUACGGUCGCAAGAUUAAAACUCANAUGAAUUGACGGGGGCCCGCACAAGCGGUGGAGCAUGUGGUUUAAUUCGA
This 589-nucleotide ribosomal RNA is filed under the name uncultured archaeon. RNAcentral's name for it is "bacterial SSU rRNA". It matches the Rfam family "Bacterial small subunit ribosomal RNA", at positions 369 to 954 of the family's 1533-position model. The record is from RNAcentral.